RNAcentral lists this ribosomal RNA (230 nucleotides) under uncultured Lactobacillus sp. Its description in RNAcentral is "partial 16S ribosomal RNA". It matches the Rfam family "Bacterial small subunit ribosomal RNA", at positions 132 to 354 of the family's 1533-position model. Lineage: Bacteria; Bacillati; Bacillota; Bacilli; Lactobacillales; Lactobacillaceae. The record is from RNAcentral.
AAGAGAUCGGGAUAACACCUGGAAACAGAUGCUAAUACCGGAUAACAAUAGAUGAUGCCUAUCAACUGUUUAAAAGAUGGUUCUGCUAUCACUCUUGGAUGGACCUGCGGUGCAUUAGCUAGUUGGUAGGGUAACGGCCUACCAAGGCGAUGAUGCAUAGCCGAGUUGAGAGACUGAUCGGCCACAUUGGGACUGAGACACGGCCCAAACUCCUACGGGAGGCAGCAGGC